RNAcentral lists this ribosomal RNA (259 nucleotides) under Salmonella enterica. RNAcentral describes it as "partial 23S ribosomal RNA". It matches the Rfam family "Bacterial large subunit ribosomal RNA", at positions 292 to 559 of the family's 2925-position model. The record is from RNAcentral. RNAcentral also lists the same sequence under 2 other names. Lineage: Bacteria; Pseudomonadati; Pseudomonadota; Gammaproteobacteria; Enterobacterales; Enterobacteriaceae.
GAGGAGCCCAGAGCCUGAAUCAGCAUGUGUGUUAGUGGAAGCGUCUGGAAAGGCGCGCGAUACAGGGUGACAGCCCCGUACACAAAAGCGCAUGUGCUGUGAGCUCGAUGAGUAGGGCGGGACACGUGGUAUCCUGUCUGAAUAUGGGGGGACCAUCCUCCAAGGCUAAAUACUCCUGACUGACCGAUAGUGAACCAGUACCGUGAGGGAAAGGCGAAAAGAACCCCGGCGAGGGGAGUGAAAAAGAACCUGAAACCGU